UACCGAUAACGGGAAAAAACGUGAAUAUCGGCCGAUAAUCGGUCGAUCCCUAAAGGAUAGUAUAUAACAUUUUUAAGAUGUUCUUAUCACAUUUUAGGUGGACACUAACAUAAUAUUGGACACCAUUUUAGGAGUUGAUAAAUCUAUUUGGGUGCACCUAGCCUGGGGGACUGUUUAGGUUCUAAGUAAUGCUACUGUUUUAGAGCCGAGGGUCUAAAUGUUGCUUGAAUGUCAUGCCAUUUCUAAGGCUCUGGUACAAUCAGGGUUCUAGGUGUUUCAAGCUUUGUACACAAAUGACAACUUUUAUUUUAGGUGCUGGAGAACAAAAUGUGAGCAGCUAGUCUGGAAGACUAAGUUCUAGGAGACAAUAUUGUAUGAGUAAAAACAUGGCAGUGAGGUGCUAGAUGUUGCAGAGAUUCCAUGAACAUUUCAAGAUGCCUUUACAAAGAACAUUUUAGGUGUUUUAAGUAUUGGACUCUAUCAUGACUGAAUUCCCAAGCCUGCAGGAUGGUUCGGGUUCCGGAUGUUUCUAGGAUUAGACACCAUCAUAAUGGGAUUACCCUGCCUAUAAGAUUGUUCAGGUUCCAGGUAUUUCUAGGCUUGGACACCAUCAUGAUGGGAUUACCCUGCCUAUAAAAUUGUUCAGGUUCUAGGUAUUUCUAGGAUUGGACACCAUCAUAAUGGGAUUACCCUGCCUAUAAGAUUGUUCAGGUUCUAGGUAUUUAUAGAAUUGGGCACCAUCAUAAUGGGAUUACCCUGCCUAUAAGAUUGUUCAGGUUCUAGGUAUUUAUAGAAUUGGACACCAUCAUGAUGGAAUUACCCUGCCUAUAAGAUUGUUCAGGUUCUAGGUAUUUCUAGGCUUGGACACCAUCAUGAUGGGAUUACACAGCCUGUAGGAUUAUUUAGGUUCUGUGGGGGAGAUUUAUCAAAAAACUGUGCAGAGUAAAACUUUCCCAGUUGCCAAUAGUAACCAAUCAGAUCGCUUCUUUCAUUUUUAGGAAGGCCUGUGAGAAAAUUAAAGUAGCGAUCUGAUUGGUUGCUAUGGGCAACUGAACAAGUUUUACUCUGCACAGGUUCCGAUAGAUCUCCCCCGAUGUGUUUCUAGCACUGGACAUCAUGAUUACCUAAAUCACUAUCAUAAUUAGGCAUCCUGUAGGAUGAUUCAGGUUCUAGGUGCUUCUAGGCUUGGACACUAACAUGAUGGUAUUACUCUGUAGGAUGAUUCAGGUUCUAGGUGUUUCUAGGCUUGGACACUAACAUGAUGGGAUUACUCUGUAGGAUGAUUCAGGUUCUAGGUGUUUCUAGGCUUGGACACUAACAUGAUGGGAUUCCUCUGUAGGAUGAUUCAGGUUCUAGGUGUUUCUAGGCUUGGACACUAACAUGAUGGGAUUACUCUGUAGGAGGAUUCAGGUUCUAGGUGCUUCUAGGCUUGGACACUAACAUGAUGGUAUUACUCUAGGAUGAUUCAGGUUCUAGGUGUUUCUAGGCUUGGACACUAACAUGAUGGGAUUACUCUGUAGGAGGAUUCAGGUUCUAGGUGCUUCUAGGCUUGGACACUAACAUGAUGGUAUUACUCUAGGAUGAUUCAGGUUCUAGGUGUUUCUAGGCUUGGACACUAACAUGAUGGGAUUACUCUGUAGGAGGAUUCAGGUUCUAGGUGCUUCUAGGCUUGGACACUAACAUGAUGGGAUUACUCUGUAGGAUGAUUCAGGUUCUAGGUGUUUCUAGGCUUGGA
Molecule: long non-coding RNA, 1735 nt
Organism: Hyla sarda
Lineage: Eukaryota; Metazoa; Chordata; Amphibia; Anura; Hylidae
Exons: 2
Source: RefSeq, a predicted model, not a curated record